RNAcentral lists this ribosomal RNA (249 nucleotides) under uncultured bacterium. RNAcentral's name for it is "partial 16S ribosomal RNA". It matches the Rfam family "Bacterial small subunit ribosomal RNA", at positions 15 to 263 of the family's 1533-position model. The record is from RNAcentral.
GAUCUGGCUCAGGACGAACGCUGGCGGCGUGCCUAACACAUGCAAGUCGAACGGAAGUUAGAGCUUCGGUUUUAACUUUAGUGGCGAACGGGUGAGUAACGCGUGAGGAACCUGCCUUUCAGUGGGGGACAACAGUUGGAAACGACUGCUAAUACCGCAUGACACUUUUGGGAGACAUCUCCUAAAAGUCAAAGCUUUAUGUGCUGAAAGAUGGCCUCGCGUCUGAUUAGCUAGUUGGUGAGGUAACAG